Molecule: long non-coding RNA, 1322 nt
Filed under: Equus caballus (horse)
Lineage: Eukaryota; Metazoa; Chordata; Mammalia; Perissodactyla; Equidae
Description: lncRNA (ENSECAG00000054543.1)
Source: RNAcentral
CUGGGGGCGGGGCUGCAGCCGCCGCCGCUGUCCCCGCCCGGUGCCUCCUGCGGGCCGCCGCCCCGGCUCGCGGCGCGCCCUCCCGAGCCUCGGAGUCCUCUCCACCUGGCGCUGUGCGAGAGUUGUUCAGGAACCACCGAGACAGACAUGGAAUGACCUAGUACCUUUAGAGAUGACUAUGAGAAUCAUGUGGAAAACAAAAUAGUCCAGUCAAAGCUACAUGAGCAAUCUCAUGGAUACCUAGUGACAGCUGGGACACAUGCGUUCCAGAGCUGGAAAGUGUGCAGCCUCUGAGGCGUCUUCUCCUUCCAUCUCCAGCAGAUCCAUACAACUUAUUAGAUGAAGCACUCUCCAUCACCUGACUCAGCUUCACAGUGUCCUGCUCCCAAGGUUCCAGGUGCUCAACUAUCCGUUGAUGGAAUGAAUGAACGAACAAAUGAAUGAAUAGCGUAUGCCUCCUUCUUUUCUGGGAACAAGCCCUAUUUACAGGAGAGGCUCCAAGGCUGACCUGCUGCUUGGCCAAAGCUGAUUGAUCGAGGGGUGGACACGGAACCCAAUCCAGGCCAAUCAUGUCUUUUUUCUGGGAAUUUAAAAUUUGGAACCGGAAAAAAAGAGACUGGGCACUGCUGAGUCCCUCUGUGCUCUAGAGAGCAGCCUGCUGCUCCUGCUGUUUGGUACCAAAGGCAUUGGUUUCUGCUCUUCUCUGCUUUCUUGAAUCGGAUAAAGAUCUACAUAUAUAACUAUUAAAUAACAACGCGAAAGUAUUUCGAUUAAGUGCCAAAAUGCGAAGUAGAGACUAUAAGUGCUGUAAAAGGUCACAAUCUGGAGAGAUCAGCGAAGGCUAGCUUCACUGUAUCUUGUUGCCCUGGCUUGCUUUCUUGAGGAGAGCUACUGUGAAUGUCAUUGUAUUUUCCAAGCCACAAGUUGCAGUAUAGCAGUCCCCCCUUAUCUGUGGUUUCACUUUUCACAGUUUCAGUUACCUGUGGUCAACCACGGUCUGAAAAUAUUUAAUGGAAAAUUCCAGAAAUAAACAAUUCAUAAGUUUUAAAUUGUGUGCUGUUCUGAGUAGCAUGAUGAAAUCUCGCACCAUCCUGCUCCAUCCUGCCAGGAUUGUGAAUCAUCCCUUUGUCCAGCGUAUCCACGCUGUAUAUGCUACUCACCUGUUAGUCACUCAGUAGCCAUCAGUUAUCAGAUGGACUGUUGCAGUAUUGCAGUGCUUGUGUUCAAGUAACCUUUAUUUUACUAAUGUCCCCAAAGCGUAAGAGUAGUGACGCUGGCAAUUCGGAUAUGCCAAAGAGAAGCUGUAAAGUGCUUCCCUUAAG